UAGCCAAUGAGGUUUAUUGAGGCAUGAUUAUUGCUAAUUGAAAACUUUU
RNAcentral lists this small nuclear RNA (49 nucleotides) under Cervus elaphus hippelaphus. The record is from RNAcentral. Lineage: Eukaryota; Metazoa; Chordata; Mammalia; Artiodactyla; Cervidae.